Molecule: ribosomal RNA, 245 nt
Filed under: uncultured Desulfonatronobacter sp.
Lineage: Bacteria; Pseudomonadati; Thermodesulfobacteriota; Desulfobacteria; Desulfobacterales; Desulfosalsimonadaceae
Description: partial 16S ribosomal RNA
Rfam family: Bacterial small subunit ribosomal RNA
Source: RNAcentral
UACGGAGGGUGCAAGCGUUAUUCGGAUUUACUGGGCGUAAAGGGCGCGCAGGCGGCUUUGCAAGUCAGUUGUGAAAGCCCGGGGCUUAACCCCGGAAGUGCGACUGAAACUGCGGGGCUUGAGUAUGGUAGAGGGAAGUGGAAUUCCUGGUGUAGCGGUGAAAUGCGUAGAUAUCAGGAGGAACACCGGUGGCGAAGGCGGCUUCCUGGACCAAUACUGACGCUGAGGCGCGAAGGUGUGGGGAG